RNAcentral lists this ribosomal RNA (643 nucleotides) under uncultured fungus. Its description in RNAcentral is "eukaryotic LSU rRNA". The stretch from base 253 to 406 matches the Rfam family "5.8S ribosomal RNA". RNAcentral also lists the same sequence under 1 other name. The record is from RNAcentral. Lineage: Eukaryota; Fungi.
CUUGGUCAUUUAGAGGAAGUAAAAGUCGUAACAAGGUCUCCGUUGGUGAACCAGCGGAGGGAUCAUUACCGAGUUUACAACUCCCAAACCCAAUGUGAACCAUACCAAACUGUUGCCUCGGCGGGGUCACGCCCCGGGUGCGUCGCAGCCCCGGAACCAGGCGCCCGCCGGAGGGACCAACCAAACUCUUUCUGUAGUCCCCUCGCGGACGUUAUUUCUUACAGCUCUGAGCAAAAAUUCAAAAUGAAUCAAAACUUUCAACAACGGAUCUCUUGGUUCUGGCAUCGAUGAAGAACGCAGCGAAAUGCGAUAAGUAAUGUGAAUUGCAGAAUUCAGUGAAUCAUCGAAUCUUUGAACGCACAUUGCGCCCGCCAGUAUUCUGGCGGGCAUGCCUGUCCGAGCGUCAUUUCAACCCUCGAACCCCUCCGGGGGGUCGGCGUUGGGGAUCGGGAACCCCUAAGACGGGAUCCCGGCCCCGAAAUACAGUGGCGGUCUCGCCGCAGCCUCUCCUGCGCAGUAGUUUGCACAACUCGCACCGGGAGCGCGGCGCGUCCACGUCCGUAAAACACCCAACUUUCUGAAAUGUUGACCUCGGAUCAGGUAGGAAUACCCGCUGAACUUAAGCAUAUCAAUAAGCGGAGGA